Molecule: long non-coding RNA, 4883 nt
Filed under: Canis lupus familiaris (dog)
Lineage: Eukaryota; Metazoa; Chordata; Mammalia; Carnivora; Canidae
Description: lncRNA (ENSCAFG00000059296.1)
Source: RNAcentral
UUUUUUUUUUUUUUUAGUUGGUCCUUUAAUCACUAAUGACAGCUACUGCUUAUACAUUGACAAAUAGAGAACAAUAAAGCCAUAUUACUCUGAUCUUGUCAUCUGCUUGCUCAAAAACUUCUAAUGGCUGCCAAUCUUCUACAGAAUGAAGUUCAAACUCCUCACUAUAAUUCUCCAAGUCCCUCAAGAAGGCUCCAGCCUUCUCUUCACUUUCUCCCCCACUGCUCCUUUCAUGUAGCUCAUAAAACACCACAUUGGACAAUUGGGGAGUCUAUAAAUGCUAACUUCUUUUUCCGUUCAUCGGAUCCUUGUUCACAGAGUAGUUUAAUCAGAAUGCUUUUCUCAUCACCUUGCCCUGUUGACAUGCUACCCCCCCAGUCAAAAUCCAUCCCAAAUGCUACUCAUUGAUUCAUCCAUCCACUCAGGAUUUUUAUUUUAUUUUUAAUUAUUUUUUUAAGAUUUCAUUUAUUUAUUCAUGAGAGAGAGAGAGAGGCAGAGACACAGGCAGAGGGAGAAGCAGGCUCCAUGCAGGGAACCUGACGUGGGACUCGAUCCCAGGACCCCAGGAUCAUGCCGUGGGCCAAAGGCAGGCGCUAAACCCCUGAGCCUCCCAGGGAUCCCCCACUCAGGAAUUAUUGAUUGAGAACCCCACUAAGUGUCAGUCCUGGCUAAUAGCAAGAUGAAUGAGAAAUGUUUUUACGUUUAAGGAUUUGCAGCCUUAGUCAAAUGUGGAGGGAGCAAUCUGAUGAACUAUUUCUCUGAUUUCUCCAGGUGAUCAAAAUAAAUCUUUAUUUGCCAAGUCCCUAGGAGAGCUGGGGUGGGGGUAGGGGGGAGGGUAAGUGUUGGGUAGGGGGCAGACAUACAGUAGGUGCCAGAUACUUAAACUUGCUUGUUUGCUUAGUUAUUGUGUUGUUUAUUUGCAUCUCUGUUAUGGCACUUCACGGUUUUGCAUUCAUAAACCAUUGUUGUUGCUGUUGUUUUUUUUUGCUGCACACCCAUUUCCUCUACCAGAGAGCAAAGGUCUUGGUUUAACUGUUUCUGUGUGCUUCCGUUCAUAGUGCCUCCCACACAGGACAGAUCCUAAAUGUUUGCUGAAUGUAAGUGAAUUAAAACAAGGAGAAGAAAAGGCAAAAGGUGGAGGAAAGAAGAGCUUUGAGGCCAAAGUUGUCCAUUAAUUUCAGUUUGAGUGUUUUUGACUCUACUGUUUCCUCCAGGUUACUAAAGCAAAUUUAUCUGAGCAAAUAAGCUUCCAUAUUUACAUUUCUUUGAACCCUAAUUUGACAUGCAAAUAAGCCACUAACUAGAGCUGGGCUUCAAUCAGCUGUGUUUAAACAGAAAUCCCCAUAGCUAUUCUUGGAAAGAAGCUAGCAUUAGCCAGAGCAGGCAACAAUGACAGCCACUGCUGCGAAGGGCACCCAUCCUCCAUGUUCUCUGAAGUUCCCUAUGCACCCGGUCCAGAGCCUCUUUCCCUGAGAUUAGACUCUGAGGGCUGAAAGCAUCCUAAAGUCCUUAAAAGCCCCCUGGUCCAGCUCUCCCAGGCCCUCAGCUGACAUCCCCUCUGCUAGUGGCAUUCAGCUUCCCUCGGCACACCACCAGGGACAGGAUGCUCAUUAUCUGGUAAAGGUGCUCUCAGUCUCCACAAAGCCUUUCUCAUUUUGAGCACAAGAAAUUUGACUCCUUGUAACUUCAUUGCUGCUGGAGCCAAACAGAAGGAGAUUGCUCUCCUCCAUAAAACAGCACUUCAGACAUCCGAAUACAGCAAUCGGAAUCUUUUUUGCUUAGCUUCAUAGUACGCAUUCUCAUCCUCCUCAUCGUCUUUACCCUGCAGUGAUUCUCAACCAUCUCAUAUCAUUCUUUCUUUUGCUUGAAUCUGCCGAGCUCACUUUUCCUUGGAUGGCUUUUGCAUGCCACUCCCUUCUGAACGAUUAACUUUUGAGUUUAUCAUUCAGAUCUCAACUCAAAGGCCCCCUCUUCAGAGAUGCUUCAUCUCACAAUCCCAUCUGAAAGAGAACCACUCUCAUGCUACCUCCCCCUACAUAUGCCAGACGUUCUUCACCACAUUAACCUAUAUUUAAAAGCCAGAACUCACAGCUAUCUGAAACUGACUAGUGCCAUAGAGUCUGAUUCCAGUUUUUAUGUUUGAUCACUGACAGCUUAUAAAGUUCACCUCUCCCUCUUCUGCUCCACAUCUGGCCAAGCUGAUAAGAAAGCCUUCAGCAUUGGCGAGAGGUUCGAACCACGUAAGCUUCCACUUGUGUAUGAGAAUCCUCUUGGGGAUCCCUGGGUGGCGCAGCGAUUUGGCGCCUGCCUUUGGCCCAGGGCACGAUCCUGGAGACUCGGGAUCGAAUCCCACAUCUGGCUCCCGGUGCAUGGAGCCUGCUUCUCCCUCUGCCUGUGUCUCUGCCUCUCUCUCUCUCUCUCUCUCUCUCUGUGACUAUCAUAAAUAAAUAAAAAUUUAAAAAAAAAUAAAAAAAAAGAAGAGAAUCCUCUUGCCAUCCCUACCCCCUAGCCACCAUAGAAUCUCCAAACCAGUUUCAUUUCCUGACUUUCUCAAGCCAUUUCAGACUAGUUUGGGAAGUCUGUCCUCAUCUUCCCAGAGAGUCUAUUAUGUGAGUAAUAAAUCUUUUCAUAUCUUAUUGGUGUAUGUACAUCAUCGGCUUCAGUAAGAAGCAGCUUUGGGGUGGGAGUCCAUUCCAUUUCUAAAGACUCGCUACAACAUCUGGCUUAUUAAUUUGUUAGUUGUUCAUCUCCUUAGUAUCUUUAACACUGGAAUGGAAGCUCUGUUUUUCUACUAUCUCUGUGGGACACAGAAAGGUGCCUAUCUGAAGUUAGGGCUCAAAUAAAGAAAUGAUUCUGAAGGUUUUAUAAUAGUUUUAAGAGCCCCAAAUAAUGACUCCCAUUGCGAUUACUUGUAGUACCAGCAUGCUCAGAGCCAGGCACUGUUCUUAGUGCUUUAUUUGUAUUGACUCCUUUACUCCUCACAGCAGUCCUACACAUAUUUACCGCCAUUGUACAGAUGAAGCUGAGGUACAGGGAAAUUAAGUCAUUUACUCCAAAUCAUAUGACAAGCGACAGAGUUAGAAUUGGCAUGCAGGGAAUGAGGCCCCAGACAUGCUUCAAAGCACCUUACUGGUCUGUCUGCGACUACAGCUCUGCUGUUGCCAUGUGGAGUCCCUGCCAUGUCCCAGGACAUGUAAUUAUCUUGUAAGAUCCUCCCAAAGGCUUGGAGUUGAGUAUCCUAACCUCUAUUUGCGGAUGAGGAAACUAUAGCUCAAAGGGUUGGAAGACUCUCCCAGACAUGGCAGGUUGGCCCAUGAUUCCCCGGUUACUCCACAUCAAAGAGCACAGAGGGCUUUGAGGGCAUGAAAUUAGAAGCACAGAACAGACACCUGUGCUGAGAAAAAGGUUAGCUAGAGGCUUGUUUGAUAACUAAUAGCAAGGAUUUGGGGAAAUUGCUUGAGUCCUAUCUCCUACUGCACAUUAAAUCAAAAAGAAGGAUCCUUAUAAUUAACACUUAGCUGUUCAAAGGAACAUAAUUUCCCAGCACUUCUAUUGAUCCAAGGGAUUUUUUUUAACUUAAAAAUGUAACUUUUUCUUGUAAAAGUAAUAUAUGCUCACUGUGGAAAACUGAGAAAAUAGAGAAAAUUAUGAGAAGAUUAUGAAUGAUUCAUAUUCCCAUCAUCCAAUUAUAACUACUUAUUGCAGAUGAGUUUUCUUUUUAAAGAUGUAAAGUUGGAAAGGUCAAUUUUUAAAGACAUGACAUGGCUUUUGGUUAAAUUUUGACUUUGCUUCUAAUCAGCUGUGUGUUUUUGAGAAGUUAUUUUAUCUCUUUGAAUCUUGGUUUCUUUGCAGGAAACACCUACGUUAAUUCACCCGUCAAGAUGAUUUCUGAGAGUUCAAAAAGCAAGCAUAUAUGGAAACAGCAUGGUAAGCGGAGCAUAGUAUGGCCCCAGUGAGUGUUAAUUUUCCUUUUUUUCCUCAUUCCUUUGUGACUCUGAGCCCCACUGUGCUUUCAAUGAGUGAAGACAAUGGAUAUUUUCUUUCUCUUGUUCUAAACAUGUCACUAAUAAUCUAUUUGUUUCUAUUCUGAUACAGUUUCUGAACUGGUAGAGAAUAAAUUAAUUUCCUUGACCUGAAGGUUAAGAUGUUUAUUCUGUAAGUUUAUAUCAGUGCUAGUUAUUCUAGAAAGAUCUGAAGGUAUUUUUAAAAUUUGUUGUUCUUAAGUUUUAUUAGAAUAUUAGAAAAAAUUAGUUAAAAUGACAUGAAAAUCAGUUUUUAAAUUCCUUUUUAGAGGGGGUGGGGCAGAGGGAGAGAGCGAGAGAGAGAGAAUCUUAAGCAGGUUCCAUGCUAUUUGUGAAGCCCCAUCUCCCACAACCCUGAGAUCACGACCUAAGCUGUAAUUGGGUGUUGGAUGCUUAAUGGACUGAGCUACCCAGGCACUCACAAAAUCAGUUUUUAGAGUUACUCUCACAUAGGAAAGAAUAAUCAGAAUAAGGAUAUUAUUUGGAAAGUGUAUUAGAUAUUGUUAUACUGCAUCAGUUGAAAGCAGGCUGCAUAUGCCCUUGAUGAACAUAGUUUUUACUUUUUAUUGUUCACAUAUAUUGAGGAAAUAAGUUCAAAGUAACUAUAGCUCCUCUUAUUACUAGCCCACAAUCAAAAGGGAAGAGCAAAAUAAUAAUUAUGGCAAAUUUUGGUAAUGAAUGCUAGGGUAGAGAGUGAUACUCUGAAAAAGAUGCCUACACAGAUUGGAUAUUCAAGAAAAACUUCCUAAACAGGCCCUUGAACUAUAUGCAUUAAGAAUUACCUAGUAGAAAAAAAAAAGGGGCGAAGGACAUUCAGGCAGAAAAGAUAUGAGGAAGAUAUAUGGCUGUGAAAUGUAAUGC